GUAUACCUACGGGGCGCAGCAGUGAGGAAUAUUGGUCAAUGGCCGGGAGGCUGAACCAGCCACGUCGCGUGAGGGAAUAAGGCCCUACGGGUCGUAAACCUCUUUUGCCGGGGAGCAAGGGCGGGGACGUGUCCCGGCCCGGAGAGUACCCGGAGAAAAAGCAUCGGCUAACUCCGUGCCAGCAGCCGCGGUAAUACGGAGGAUGCGAGCGUUAUCCGGAUUUAUUGGGUUUAAAGGGUGCGUAGGCGGGCUUUUAAGUCAGCGGUAAAAAUUCGGGGCUCAACCCCGUCCGGCCGUUGAAACUG
This 305-nucleotide ribosomal RNA is filed under the name uncultured bacterium. Its description in RNAcentral is "bacterial SSU rRNA". It matches the Rfam family "Bacterial small subunit ribosomal RNA", at positions 333 to 635 of the family's 1533-position model. The record is from RNAcentral.